UUUUAGUUUAAUUGAGAAUUUUUCACUUACAAUGAAGAGGUUAAAGAGUUUUUUGU
This 56-nucleotide transfer RNA is filed under the name Toxocara canis (dog roundworm). RNAcentral describes it as "tRNA-Val". Lineage: Eukaryota; Metazoa; Nematoda; Chromadorea; Rhabditida; Toxocaridae. The record is from RNAcentral.